Molecule: ribosomal RNA, 468 nt
Filed under: uncultured bacterium
Lineage: Bacteria
Description: partial 16S ribosomal RNA
Rfam family: Bacterial small subunit ribosomal RNA
Source: RNAcentral
GACGAACGCUGGCGGCGUGCUUAACACAUGCAAGUCGAACGGAAAGUCCCUGCUUUUGUGGGUUGCUCGAGUGGCGAACGGGUGAGUAACACGUGAUUAACCUGCCCUUGACUUUGGUAUAACUUCAGGAAACUGGGGCUAAUACCGGCUAGGAGCUCCUGCUUCAUGGUGGGGGUUGGAAAGUUUCGGCGGUUGGGGAUGGACUCGCGGCUUAUCAGCUUGUUGGUGGGGUAGUGGCUUACCAAGGCUUUGACGGGUAGCCGGACUGAGAGGGUGACCGGCCACAUUGGGACUGAGAUACGGCCCAGACUCCUACGGGAGGCAGCAGUGGGGAAUAGUGCAAAAUGGGCGGAAGCCUGAUGCAGCAACGCCGCGUGCGGGAUGACGGCCUUCGGGUUGUAAACCGCGUUCGCCUGUGACGAAGCGUGAGUGACGGUAAUGGGUAAAGAAGCAACGGCUAACUACGUG